RNAcentral lists this ribosomal RNA (253 nucleotides) under uncultured bacterium. RNAcentral describes it as "partial 16S ribosomal RNA". It matches the Rfam family "Bacterial small subunit ribosomal RNA", at positions 524 to 776 of the family's 1533-position model. The record is from RNAcentral.
GACGGAGGGGGCAAGCGUUGUCCGGACUCACUGGGCGUAAAGGGUGCGCAGGCGGCAGAGCGCGUCCGCGCUGAAAUCUGUCGGCUUAACUGACAGGCGCGUGCGGAUACGGCUCAGCUCGAGGCACGGAGAGGGUGGGGGAACUCCUGGUGUAGUGGUGAAAUGCGUAGAGAUCAGGAAGAACACCCGUGGCGCAAGCGCCCACCUGGCCGUGACCUGACGCUGCGGCACGAAAGCUGGGGGAGCGAACAGG